UCUGGGUGUGGUUGUGCACACCUGUAGUCCCAGUUACCAGGAGGCUGAGGUGGGAGGAUCUCUUGAGCCCAGGAGUUUGAGGCUGCAGUGAGCUACGAUCAUGCCACUGCACUCCAGUCUGGGCAACAGAGCAAGAUUCUGUCUCUU
This 147-nucleotide small RNA is filed under the name Pongo abelii (Sumatran orangutan). RNAcentral's name for it is "Metazoan signal recognition particle RNA (ENSPPYG00000038492.1)". Lineage: Eukaryota; Metazoa; Chordata; Mammalia; Primates; Hominidae. The record is from Rfam by way of RNAcentral.